This 422-nucleotide ribosomal RNA is filed under the name uncultured bacterium. Its description in RNAcentral is "partial 16S ribosomal RNA". It matches the Rfam family "Bacterial small subunit ribosomal RNA", at positions 360 to 774 of the family's 1533-position model. The record is from RNAcentral.
AAUCUUCCACAAUUGACGGAAGUCUGAUGGAGCAACGCCGCGUGAGCGAAGAAGGUUUUCGGAUCGUAAAGCUCUGUUGUAAGGGAAGAACACGUACGGGAGUCACUGCCCGUCCCUUGACGGUAGCUUAUCAGAAAGCCACGGCUACCUAAGUGCCAGCAGCCGCGGUAAUACGUAGGUGGCAAGCGUUUUCCGGAAUUAUUGGGCGUAAAGCGCGCGAAGGCGGUCCUUUAAGGCUGAUUUAAAAGCCCACGGCUCAACCGUGGAGGGUCAUUGGAAACUGGAGGACUUAAGUACAGAAGAGGAAAGCGAAAUUCCACGUGUAGCGGUGAAAGGCGUAGAGAUGUGGAGGAACACCAGUGGCGAAGGCGGCUUUCUGGUCUGUAACUGACGCUGAGGCGCGAAAGCGUGGGGAGCAAACA